AGGUACUUCCUGUGGACAAUUUGUGGACUAUUAAGAGAGCACUGCCCAUGGUGUUCUCAUCUUUCAGCUAGCAAGAGGAAGAACUCCUAACUGUCAGCCGUCGCGGGAGAGAUGCUCUGUGCACAGCAAGAAGAACGCUAGGCUAUCUCUCAUUCUCAGAUGGACGCAUCCAGGACCCCAUGGGCUUCAGGCUGUGAGAAGGUUUGGAUGCUUGAACAAAGAUAAAAAUCUGAAAACCAAGUGGAAACUCUAAGUCGCCGGGAGUCGGGCGUUCUGGAGAGGAAGUUCGGGGCUGGCUGCACUGCCAGCUGCUCGCCAGGAAAGCACUCUGUGGCUCGAACAAUGAAGAUGAAGAGAAUGUUCCCACAAGCUGUCAGUUGCUUUUCAUCUUUGCCAGUCUAAUGGAGAGAACCUGGGUUGGCAGAGUCUUCUGUCCCACCCGGUCCUGUAAUAAACAGUAUCCGGUUUAGUUUUCCCUGCCUAGCUCUGUUCUGCCCUACCACAGGCCAAAGCAGCUUCUUUAUUCAUUAACCAAUAAAAGCAACACACAUACAGAAGGACUUCCCACACCAAACACGAUAGUUCAGUGUUGUUGGUACAGUUUGCAUUUCCCUUAAUUGCUUGAAAGCUCCGACAUUUUCUUGCUUUUCUUAUCCUUUUGGAUUUGGUCUUUUAUGAUAUUUUCCCAUUAAUGUCAUUUAUCCCAUUUUCUAUUGGCUCACAUUAUGUGUUCUGUUUUACUUUGUUUCAGAUGUUUGUCGUUUAUAUAAUCUUUUGCAAAUAAAAUUCAACUUUA
Molecule: long non-coding RNA, 796 nt
Organism: Myodes glareolus (Bank vole)
Lineage: Eukaryota; Metazoa; Chordata; Mammalia; Rodentia; Cricetidae
Source: RefSeq, a predicted model, not a curated record